The sequence is a transfer RNA, 74 nucleotides long. It matches the Rfam family "tRNA". From Rfam's summary of the family: Transfer RNA (tRNA) molecules are approximately 80 nucleotides in length. Their secondary structure includes four short double-helical elements and three loops (D, anti-codon, and T loops).
GGGGCGGUAGCUCAGCCCGGGAGAGCAACCGGCUGAAGACCGGUGUGUCGUGGGUUCAAAUCCCACUCGCCCCA